AUCUAAAUAGUUUAAGUAAAAAUAUUGGUUUGUGGUGCCGAUGAUAUAGAUUUUAUUUUAGAUU
This 64-nucleotide transfer RNA is filed under the name Orthognathotermes sp. n. RNAcentral describes it as "tRNA-His". It matches the Rfam family "tRNA". From Rfam's summary of the family: Transfer RNA (tRNA) molecules are approximately 80 nucleotides in length. Their secondary structure includes four short double-helical elements and three loops (D, anti-codon, and T loops). Further hydrogen bonds mediate the characteristic L-shaped molecular structure. tRNAs have two regions of fundamental functional importance: the anti-codon, which is responsible for specific mRNA codon recognition, and the 3' end, to which the tRNAs corresponding amino acid is attached (by aminoacyl-tRNA synthetases). tRNAs cope with the degeneracy of the genetic code in two manners: having more than one tRNA (with a specific anti-codon) for a particular amino acid; and 'wobble' base-pairing, i.e. permitting non-standard base-pairing at the 3rd anti-codon position. The record is from RNAcentral. Lineage: Eukaryota; Metazoa; Arthropoda; Insecta; Blattodea; Termitidae.